UUCCGGUUGAUCCUGCCGGAGGUCACUGCUAUCGGGGUUCGAUUAAGCCAUGCGAGUCGAGAGGGUUCGGCCCUCGGCGUACUGCUCAGUAACACGUGGAUAACCUGCCCUAAGGAAGGGGAUAACCUCGGGAAACUGAGGAUAAUACCCUAUAGGAUACCGACGCUGGAAUGCCCGGUAUCCCAAAGCUCCGGCGCCUUAGGAUGGAUCUGCGGCCGAUUAGGUCGUUGUUGGGGUAACGGCCCAACAAGCCGAUAAUCGGUACGGUUGUGGGAGCAAGAGCCCGGAGUUGGAUUCUGAGACACGAAUCCAGGCCCUACGGGGCGCAGCAGGCGCGAAAACUUUACAGUGCGGGCAACCGUGAUAAGGGAACCUCGAGUGCCUGUACAUGCAGGCUGUCUGGGUGCCUAAAACACACCCAAAGAAAGGGCCGGGCAAGACCGGUGCCAGCCGCCGCGGUAAUACCGGCGGCUCGAGUGGUGGCCACUUUUAUUGGGCUUAAAGCGUUCGUAGCUGGGUUGUUAAGUCUCUUGGGAAAUCUGGCAGCUUAACUGUCAGGCGUCUAAGAGAUACUGGCAAUCUAGGAACCGGGAGAGGUGAGGGGUACUUCGGGGGUAGGAGUGAAAUCCUGUAAUCCUCGAGGGACCACCUGUGGCGAAGGCGCCUCACCAGAACGGCUUCGACAGUGAGGGACGAAAGCUGGGGGAGCAAACCGGAUUAAAUACCCGGGUAGUCCCAGCCGUAAACGAUGCGCGUUAGGUGUGUCGAUGACCACGAGUCAUCGAGGUGCCGAAGGGAAACCGUGAAACGCGCCGCCUGGGAAGUACGGUCGCAAGGCUGAAACUUAAAGGAAUUGGCGGGGGAGCACCACAACAGGUGGAGCCUGCGGUUUAAUUGGAUUCAACGCCGGG
RNAcentral lists this ribosomal RNA (911 nucleotides) under uncultured Methanoculleus sp. RNAcentral describes it as "bacterial SSU rRNA". It matches the Rfam family "Archaeal small subunit ribosomal RNA", at positions 1 to 922 of the family's 1478-position model. Lineage: Archaea; Methanobacteriati; Methanobacteriota; Methanomicrobia; Methanomicrobiales; Methanomicrobiaceae. The record is from RNAcentral.